AUGACGGUCGCCGAGCUGCAGGCGGAGCUGCUCUGCGCCCAGCUCGAGGAGCAGAGCAUCGAGGUUAUGUUUGUCCUCUCCAAGCCAGAUGUCUUCAAGAGCUCAAACUCAGAUACCUACGUCAUGUUCGGGGAGCCCAAGAUUGAGGACCUGAGCACUCAGCUGCGUUCACAAGCGGCGGAGCAGUUCAAGGCGCCGAGCCCAAGCGGCAUCAUCUUGAAGGGCGAGCCGUCCAUGGCAGCAGCCCAUGACGACGAGGAGGUUGAUGAGACUGGUGUUGACAAGAAGGACGUUGAGCUCGUGAUGACGCAGGCCUCCGUGCCGAGAUCCAGGGCUGUGAAGGCGCUCAAGGAUGCGGGCGGCGACAUCGUCAGCGCCAUCAUGGAGUUGACUAACUAG
RNAcentral lists this ribosomal RNA (399 nucleotides) under Triticum aestivum (bread wheat). RNAcentral's name for it is "partial small subunit ribosomal RNA". The record is from RNAcentral. Lineage: Eukaryota; Viridiplantae; Streptophyta; Magnoliopsida; Poales; Poaceae.